AAAAAAGGAAAGAAAGAAAUUUUAAGUAUAUCUGUCUGUCUGUCUGACUCCACACACAUGUAUAUGAACUUGGGUUACAUUCCCUUCUUAAUCUAAAGGGUUUUAUAUUAUGUUCACCCACCUUUGCAACUGCAAGAGCUUUAACUCUUUUGGAAAUGCUUUCAACAAGGUUUUUGAGAGUGUUUAUUGAAGUUUUUGACCAUUACUAAAAUGCAUGUAUGUGGUCGAUAUUCUUUCACACAUCUGUGUGAAAGAAUAUCUUUCACACAGAUGUGUGAAAGCUAUUCUUGCACUUUUUUCAGAACAGAUUGUUCAUAAAAAUAUGAUCAGAAUUAAUUUUGUUUACAUCAUCUGAAGGCCUACUCUCAUGAUACAUAAACUGUACUUUACUUAAUGCAUUUAAAUAGAUUACUAAGAGAUACUAGAGUUUUUGAUAGAAAACACUUUUUCUUGUUAAAGAUUGUAGGGAUCUUUUAGUCCAUGAAUAAAAACUUUUACUUCCUGCAUCAAACUCUAUCCAGUCACUCCAUGUCCUGUCCCAGCUAUUCUACAACACGUAUUAUGGGAAUGUUUUGGUGUAGGUGACUUUCAUAACUGCUUACUUUGUUUUUAUAGUCAAAUCAUGAAGAACUGUAACAACAAUCAUGUGGAUAGCAGGAAUAUUGCUGGACAUUAUGCAAAGCUCUUCUUUGAAAGUCAUGUUUCAUAUCUCUUCGAGUCAUCAUGGACAAAUGUUCUCUGUAUUUCUCUCUUAGUGGAAACAACAACAAAGGUACCCUUUAGCUUUUUUGUAAAUAGUUUGUUUCCGUUUGUUUGUUGAAAGAUUUUUUUCUACACAUUUUUCUCCCAACUGUACUUUUUUUCCCUCUCUCUUUAUAGGCGUGUCGCUGGCAAAAUAUAGCUGACAUUGCAGAUUUCUGACAGGUUACAACCAGAGCGAUCUCACUGAAAACUUGCCUCCAGCUCACAAACUGCUGAAGUGUCAUCAGAAGUUUGAACAAAAAGACGAACUUGACCUGAAGUGGGACAGAGAAACGGAAUAUACUGAGGGGAAAGUGUUACAGGCGGCCGGGGGAUGAAAAUAGCUACUUGAAACCUGAGACUACAUUGCAGUACAUUUGAUUUGCUGGACUGUGUUUACAUCCUCUGGCCCAGAAACAACAACAGUACUUAAUGUUUCUUCCAGCACUGACUUAACUCAACUUAAUGAAGAAAACAAGAACAUUUCCGCAGUCUUGUGACGUGUGUCACCGAAGCUUUCAGAGGCAACCAGAAGCAUACUGCUGUACCAUUCCACCUUAAUAAGAGGGUGUGUCAACUCUAGACUGUGGAGUGAAUCAUCAACUUGCUCCACAACCACAAACUAAUGUGGCGUCCAGAGAAAAAACGUUCCCUGAAGUAACCGGCAUGUGCAAAAAGUACAGAAAGCAUCUCGCUUGGGUCACUUAUUUAAUAAAAUAAGUAGUUUUAAUUGUUUUAUGGGGUAAA
Xiphophorus couchianus (Monterrey platyfish) is the source of this 1488-nucleotide long non-coding RNA. RefSeq lists it as uncharacterized. The transcript is spliced from 2 exons. The record is from RefSeq and is a predicted model, not a curated record. Lineage: Eukaryota; Metazoa; Chordata; Actinopteri; Cyprinodontiformes; Poeciliidae.